This 254-nucleotide unclassified non-coding RNA is filed under the name uncultured Acidimicrobiia bacterium. RNAcentral's name for it is "contains 16S-23S intergenic spacer region". It matches the Rfam family "Bacterial small subunit ribosomal RNA", at positions 524 to 776 of the family's 1533-position model. Lineage: Bacteria; Bacillati; Actinomycetota; Acidimicrobiia. The record is from RNAcentral.
UACGUAGGGUGCGAGCGUUAUCCGGAAUCAUUGGGCGUAAAGAGCUCGUAGGCGGUUCAACAAGUCGGCUGUGAAAGUCUGGGGCUCAACCCCAGAAUUGCAGUCGAUACUGUUGUGACUUGAGUCCGGUAGAGGAGAAUGGAAUUCCCGGUGUAGCGGUGGAAUGCGCAGAUAUCGGGAGGAACACCAGUAGCGAAGGCGGUUCUCUGGGCCGGCACUGACGCUGAGGAGCGAAAGCGUGGGGAGCAAACAGG